AACGAACGCUGGCGGCAUGCCUAAUACAUGCAAGUCGAACGAGAUCUUCGGAUCUAGUGGCGCACGGGUGCGUAACGCGUGGGAAUCUGCCCUUGGGUUCGGAAUAACAUCUGGAAACGGAUGCUAAUACCGGAUGAUGACGUAAGUCCAAAGAUUUAUCGCCCAAGGAUGAGCCCGCGUAGGAUUAGCUAGUUGGUGAGGUAAAGGCUCACCAAGGCUACGAUCCUUAGCUGGUCUGAGAGGAUGAUCAGCCACACUGGGACUGAGACACGGCCCAGACUCCUACGGGAGGCAGCAGUAGGGAAUAUUGGACAAUGGGGGCAACCCUGAUCCAGCAAUGCCGCGUGAGUGAUGAGGGCCUUAGGGUUGUAAAGCUCUUUUACCCGAGAUGAUAAUGACAGUAUCGGGAGAAUAAGCUCCGGCUAACUCCGUGCCAGCAGCCGCGGUAAUACGGAGGGAGCUAGCGUUGUUCGGAAUUACUGGGCGUAAAGCGCACGUAGGCGGUUAUUUAAGUCAGAGGUGAAAGCCCGGGGCUCAACCCCGGAACUGCCUUUGAGACUGGAUAACUUGAAUCCAGGAGAGGUGAGUGGAAUUCCGAGUGUAGAGGUGAAAUUCGUAGAUAUUCGGAAGAACACCAGUGGCGAAGGCGGCUCACUGGACUGGUAUUGACGCUGAGGUGCGAAAG
This 685-nucleotide ribosomal RNA is filed under the name uncultured Alphaproteobacteria bacterium. RNAcentral describes it as "bacterial SSU rRNA". It matches the Rfam family "Bacterial small subunit ribosomal RNA", at positions 28 to 759 of the family's 1533-position model. Lineage: Bacteria; Pseudomonadati; Pseudomonadota; Alphaproteobacteria. The record is from RNAcentral.